UGCUAUGAUGGUGUAAUUUGCGUCUGACUCUGUGACCAGUGACAGAAUGCCUACCGUCUUAUACUGGCGCAGAUGGCUGGUGAUCAUUGAGUCUGAGCA
Oryzias latipes (Japanese medaka) is the source of this 99-nucleotide non-coding RNA. The record is from Rfam. Lineage: Eukaryota; Metazoa; Chordata; Actinopteri; Beloniformes; Adrianichthyidae.